Chrysemys picta bellii (western painted turtle) is the source of this 11493-nucleotide non-coding RNA. The record is from RefSeq and is a predicted model, not a curated record. Lineage: Eukaryota; Metazoa; Chordata; Testudines; Emydidae.
CCUGAAAUCAAAAUAAAACAAUAACUCCAUGAAAAUCAAACAAUACAGGAGAAAUACUUUUUUCUGUACUUUUUUCAUAAAGGAAACAGAAAAAGCAGGACAGGAAACUUCCCAAUUUCUAUGCUUGUUCACAAAAAUGAUUUCAGACCUGAACUCAAAGGUCUCAUCUGACUUUGCUGUAAUCAAGUCCAUUACAUAUUAGUACAAGAAACAAUUACCAGAUUGCAACUGAUCAGUAUGUUAAUUUUGCACAAAGUCUUUGGGCACUCAAAAACAGCUGUAGAGUUCAUUUUCAAUAUAAAAUAAUAUUCAAUAAAAUAUUCAAUAAAAUACAGCAGCGCAUGUAGGGAUUGCCUUUUUGCUUGCUUAAACUCAAACAGAAAGGCUCAGAUAAAUGAUUUUUUUUUGUAUUACCCAUUCAAUUAAUAGUUACUUAUGUUUAGAAACAAUGUGAAGUGUAGUCUAGUGGUUAGAACAAACAGCAGGACCAUCCUAGGUACUAGCCUAACCUUCAGUCAACCUUCAGUCAGUAAAAAAAACUUGGUAGCAACAAAACUACUAUAUAGCAAAUGCUGAAUCCGGGGUUAAAACAAUAUAUGAGAGAGAGAGAGAGUGUGUAAAAAUGUCUACUAUAAAUCAGUCUUUAUUGAAAAGAAUAUAUUUUGAACUAUCCAUUGGUAUUCUAAAUAAAUAGAUCAUAGUUAAACCCUACAACACUUCCGUGAGAUAGACAAAUGGGUAAACUGAAGCACAGGGAAAUUAAUACAUUUCCCAUGAUGGCACUGCAAGACAGUGGCAGAUCCAAUAGGAGAACCCGCCAAUGUUGAAUUUCAGACCCCUAUUCUAAUCACUUAACAAAACUGUUUCCCUAAAAGCAGUAGUCCAAUUAUACUUAGGGGACAUGGCUUUGACAGCACAAAAAAUAGAACGCCAAGCUCCAGUAACAGAUUAUCAUGAAAGCAUUUUACUUUUCUACCACAUAUAUAUAAUAAACUGCAUUAAUCCUUAUACUCUAAAACCAAAUCUGAAAUGUGUGACAAUUUUGUAAUAAUUACAUACAAAUAUAGCAUCAUGUAUUUCUCCAACAUAAUAUACAUUCAUAUGCAGUAAUCAAUAUUGGUUUGAUCAAAAAGUCAUUUUAUAUAAUAUGGAUGUCCAAAAUAAGGAAAAAGAACAUAAAAAAGGAAACAUGAAGUGGCAAGUUACAUGGAAAAUUUCACCUAUAGGCAAUUUUAAUUUUUAUUACUAUUAGCAGUUUGUUUAUGUGGUUAAAGCAGGAGACUGUCAACACUUAUUCCAGUUCUGGCUCUGCCACUAACUUCCUCUGUAUCCAUGGGCUAGUCACCUAGCCUCUCUGUUCUUAGCUUUGCAAAGCACUUUAAGACCUUUGGAUGAAAGGUGCUAUGUAAGUGCAAAGUAUUAUUGUAUCAGACUAAGCAGAUGGUGAUCAUGAAAUAAAAGGAGAUUAGGGUGAAUAACUGUAACAUGUAUUUUUCUUAAAAUAAUGUGCCGUUUAGUAACAAUUUUUAAAACUUUUUUUAAACUCCCUUUCAGAUAGAAACCAGCCUUUACAUAGUAAAAUCAUAUGUUUUUAAAAUCCUUUAAAAGUUUCUUAUUUAGAUCUUUUGAAUGUUGAUGUUUAUAGGGGUUUUCUCGGAAAGGGAGAAACUAUCUGCACAAACAUAAGAAAAAAUUUGUUGACUUCUUUCCAUUUCAUCAGUCUUAUGUGUUACUUAUAACUACAGAAAGCACAAAGUGGGUGAGGUAAUGUUUUUUAUUAGACCAAUUUCUGUUGUGAGAAAGACAAGCUUUCAAGUUUACACAGGCUCUACAAAGCAAUGUACGCAUAGCGAGACUCAAGUCAGCUGACCUGUGUCAGGGAACCUGGGCUUGAGUGUCUACAUUGCAUUGUAACCCUAGGUUAAGAAUUUUCUGACUGAUGCUCAAACCUAGGGCUCUGGCAUCCACACUCCGAGUCAAAGUACAGAUCCGAGUCAAGGUAACCAUAUCCCAGAGCUCCUAGCACAAUGCCCCCCACAAUGCUGAUUCUAGCCCUAGGAAUGUGUCGCACUGUGGGAAAACUCUGCUGCUCAUCCUGCACAUUACAGGAAAUUUUAACUGUCUGCCAACAAAUCCUGCCGAGCAAUCUUUUUGUUCUGUGUACUCCCAGCUACCAGAGCUAGCAACAACGAAUAGGCAUCUUUGGAUGAACUUCUCUUGUUUGCAUUUUCAUGCAUAUGUCAGGAAGCUGGCAGAACAUCCAUAAGGUGCUGGUGCAAUGUUUUCUGUCCCACCAAAGGUACCUCACUGAUUUCCUGAUGGAGCUGCAGGAGGAGUACCCUGGCAUCACAGACUCGCAAUGGCAGAUGCUGCUCAGUAUAAUUGGCAUAGCCACUGAUGGCCCCUACGUAGAGCGCUGCUUCCAGUGUAUGGCCACAAGCACCGACUGGUGGAACCAGAUAGUCAUGCAGAGCUGGGAUGACCAGCAGCAGAUCCAGAACUUUUGCAUAAGGAAAGCAACAUUUCUGGAGCUUUGUGAGCUUCUUAACUCCCCCUUCCCCGGACACACCCUCCAGCAUAAAGAGAUACACAAAGUCACCCUUGCCAGUCCAAAAGCAGAGUGUUAUAACUGUGUGGAAGCUGGCUACCCCAGACUGCUCCAGGUCUAUUGCCAACCGGUUUGGGGUUGGAAAGCUGACUAUGGGUAAAGUGGUGGCAAAGGUAACUGACACAAUCAGGCAUGAGGUUUACCCCAAGGUGGCAGACAUUAAAGAUAUUCUAGAGGUAACUGAUGGCUUUGAGAGAGUGGGGUUUCGUAACAGUGCAAGUGAUGGGACUCGUGCCCAUAGUAUGCCCUUCUCAAGGAGCACAUGAAUAUAUAAACCACAAAGGGUAUUACUCCAUUUUUAUGCAGGAACUAGUGGACCACAGAUUUAUGAAUGUCAACGUGGGCUGUACAGGAAAAGUUCACAAUGCCGGAAUUUUUCACCGCGCGGCAGUCUACAUUCUUGGACAGGCCAGGACACUAUUCCUACUAAAUGACACUGACAUAAAUGAUGUUACUGUUCACACAGUUAUUCUGGGGGACCACCACAUACCCUCUUUUAACUUGGCUUAUGAAACCAUAUCCUGAUUUCCGAGGCCCUGGCAAAUAAAGGUUUAAUUACACUCAACGCAGCUGUAGAAUGGUUAUUGAAUGUGCUUUUGGCAGAUUAAAAUCAUGUUGGAGGUGUUUGCAAACCCAUUUAGAUGCCAGUAUAAUUAAUGCUGUCUGCAUUACUGUGGCUUGCUGUGCUCUUCACAACCUAGAGGCCAGAGGUGAGCCAUUUCCCCCUGAAUAGAUCUAUGAUAGCAAGGGAAUGCUGGAUCUGUACCCUCAGCCAGAAAGUGCAGCUACCACUGUGGGAGCUGGUUGCACCUGUGCAGCAGAAGGGAUAUUUUGUGUGCAUUCGCAUUAUUGACUAGCAUGGCCCAAUAGAAGAGGGGGAAUAAUACCUGUAUGAAUGUGGUUGGGUGGGGGAGAGGACUGGCUCAUUUUUGGCAGGGGGCAGUGCAUGGGAGGGGUGUGGAUUUAAUUGCUAUGUAAUGUAAGUCAGAUGACAUGAUGAAAAAUAAAUUUGUGAUUGCGGACCAGCAAAGAGAGGAAUAUUGUUUGCUUUGCCAUGCUUAAUUACUCCUUAACAUGUUUUUACCUUUAUCUCAGAUCCUGUGUGUAUGAUAUGAUGCAUUGAACAGCAAUAAACUUUCUUGAAAAUAUAACAUUCUUUAUUUGUAAACAGGUCAGAAAACAGUAAACCACUCACACAGUGUUGGGUAGGCCAGCUGCCAUUACAACACCAAACACCCCCACAUAAAGGACAGAAAAUAGUUAAUACCUAACACAAUCCCCCUACCACUGAAUGUCCGCUGGCCCCUCCUUUCCCUUCUUUACAUGUUUAGCCCUGACUUUGUGACGGGUGAGUGAGGUGGAGGUUUCAAGCAAAGAGGGGUGAAAGAAGGAAGGCUGCACAGGGUUUAGUUGCCCAGCCCAGCUGCUCACCAGUCCUGAGUGCCUGGGCUCCCCCCAACAUGGAGUUGUGCAAGCUACUGCUGGGUUGAGGGUACGUUGCUGGGGCAUCAUGCCAUGCUGUGGGAGAGGCAGCAGGAGCCAGUAUCUUGCAGCCAUUAAGAUAGGAGUUGCUGGAAAAGUUGUCUUUGUUGGGCUCUGUCCUCUUCCCUUAGCCACUGUUUCUGUUCCAGGAACUACUGUGCAAGUGCCUGCUCCCUUGCUGAAACACUCGCCUCCACCUGGGCAGCGAGCCUCAACCCUGCUUCCUGCCUGUCAGCCUGCCAUUGUUCCAGUCUUUCAUCCCUCUUCUUCUGGUACUGGAACUGCUGCUCUGCCCUCUCAAGAACAUCGACCAUGUGUUCUUCAUGGAAAAGCUUCCUUUGGGAAUGGACCUGAGGGUAUGCUGAGCCAGGGAUGGAGUUCCUGAAGAACAGCAGGCCUUUCAUAUAUUGGAAGACAUAACAGGUCUUGUGGUGCCCUAUUGGCAGAGGGAGAUGUUAUUCCAGACUGCUGGAGGGAAUCCUACAGCGUAUGCAACAGAAGUAUUCAAACCAACAACACAUCCAUGAGUGGAGUGGAUUAGUCAGCUAUACGGGGUGUGUGGAAAAUACAUUCUUCCCCACAAUGUGACAAACUAUGUGGAGUUCCUGCUUCCGGAAAAGUAUGCAGCUAUCAGCAGCCAGUACUGGGUCCUAAUCCAUGAUGGAAUAAACAUGAUGCUGUGUUAGAGCACACAAGGCUUAUCCUAUUAUUGAUGAACACAAAACUCUCUGAAAUCUGCAGUUUUAAUCCUGCAUGGAUUAUCGCUAACUGAAAUUGACUAGAUUUGGAAACAGAAAAAAUGGUUACCUAAUUUACGUAACUGUUGUUCUUCGAGAUAUGUUGUUCAUGUCCAUUCCAUUCAAGGUGUGUGUGCGCCCAUGUGCACAGCCAUCGGAGAUUUUUGUCUUGGCGCCCUCUUGAGUGACAUGUUCAUGUGUAGGUAUAUAAGGCGCCGCUGGCCCUAAGCACUCUCAGUUCCUUCUUGCUGGCAACUCUGACAGAGGGGCAGGAGGACAGGUAAUGGAAUGGACAGAAGCAACACAUGUCGAAACGGUAGGUAACCGUUUUUUCUUCUUUGAGUGCUUGUUUAUGUCAAUUCCAUUCUAUGUGACUCACAAGCAGUAUCCCUGGAGGCGAAUUCAGAGUUCACAAUUGUGUGGCUUGCAACACUGCUCUGCUGAAGCCAGCAUCGUCUUGGGCUUGCUGGGUAAGCGGAUGAGACGUAAAUGUGUGGAAAGAUGACCAGGUAGAAGCCCUGCAGAUAUCCUGAAUCAACACCUGGGCCAGAAAGACUGCCAAUGAAGCCUAAACCCUAGUUGUGUGGGCAGUCGCUGGUGGAGGCACCUUCGCAAGGUCAUUGCAGUAAUGGAUGUAGGCCAUGAUCCAAGAAAAAAUGGUUACCUACCUUUCGUAACUGUUGUUCUUCAAGAUGUGUUGUUCAUGUCCAUUCCAAGUAGGUGUGUGCACGCUGCGUGCAUGGUCGCCGGAAGAUAUUUCCCCUAGCGGUACCCGUCAGGUCAGCUGUGGAGCCCUUUGGAGGUGGGUGGAUCUUGGAAUGGACAUGAACAACACAUCUUGAAGAACAACAGUUACGAAAGGUAGACAACCGUUUUUUCUUCUUCAAGUGAUUGCUCAUGUCGAUUCCAAGUAGGUGUCUCCCAAGCAGUCCCUAGGAGAAGAGGUCAGAGUUCACCGACUCGCAGACUGCAGCACUGCUCUGCCAAAUGCGACGUUGUCUCUAGCCUGCUGUGUAAUGGCAUAAUGAGAUGUAAUGGUGUGAAUAGACAACCACAUCGCCACCCUGCAGAUGUCUUGAAUAGGAACCUGCGCCAGGAACGCUGCAGAUGACACUUGCGCUCCUGUGGAGUGCACUGUUAAUGCUGGGGCUGGUAUCUUUGCUAGGUUGUAUCACACCCAGAUACAUGAUCCAUGAAGAGAUCUUUUGGGCCGACAUGGAGAGCCCCUCCAUCCACUUUGCAAUUGCAAUGAAGAGCUGUGUCGAUUUCCGAAACGGCUUUGUCCGCCCAAUAUAAAAGCCUAAUGUUCAUCUGACAUCCAGGGAACAGAGCAUCCAUUCCUGGUUAUUAGCAUUUGGCUUAGGGAAGAACACUGGAAGAAAAAUGUCCUGAUUCACAUGAAAUUGCGAAACUACCUUUGGGAGGAAAGCUGGGUGUGGCUGCAAAUUCACUUUGUCUUUAGAAAACACAGUAUAAGGGCGCUCGGAUGUGAGGGCCUUGAACUCAGACACCCUCCUGGCUGAAGUUAUAGGAAUGCCACCUUCCAAGAAAGGUAAAGUAGAGACCAUGUUGCUAGGGGCUCAAAGGGAGGGCCCAUCAGCCUCGAGAGCAGCAGGUUGAGAUCCCAUGGGGGAAUCAUCUGCCUAACUUGAGGGUACAGUCUAUCUAGCCCUUCUACUUGCUCAAGACCCAUUGGUCUGAGGUGAUUUGAGCUCAGGCCUGGUAGAAAUGAGACAGAUGAUUCACAAAGGGAGGGGAAGGAUAUGGCAUCUGAACUGGUGCAUCACCCCUGGGAGUACCUUCAAAAGUUUGUUUGGAGGCUGAGGGCUGCUUCGCUGAGCCUUGGCCCUGGUUAGAGGAGGACUGAGAAGGCCUCUGCCUAUUACUCCUGCCCUGCUUCCUGCUACAGUCCUGCCUAGGAAGAGCUGAGGAGAAGCGAAGGGUGGGUUGUGGCUUAAAUGGCUUUCUUUGGUGGGCUGGCGUUUGAAGCCCCAGGGACUUCAGUGUUGCCUGCAAGUCUUUCAGGCUGUGAAGCCUAGUGUCUGUUUGCUCCGAAAAGAGGCCUGAACAGUCAAAAGGCAAGUCCUGAAUAUGUGUUGGACUUUGUGUGGGAGUCCCAACACUUGAAGCCAUGAGCUCCAUCUCAUGGCUAUCGCAGUUGUCAUCGUAUGGGUUGCUGACUCCACCGAGUCCAGCGAGGCCUAUAAGGAGGUCCUUGUGAUGACCUUGCCUUCCUCCAGGACAGCCACAAACUCCAAACGGGAGUCUGCUGGAAGCAGUUCCUGAAAUAUGGACAUGUUCCAGGAAUUAUAGCUAUAGCAGCUAAGGACUGCCUGCUGGUUGGCAAUGAGAAGCUGGAGCCCCCCGGUAGAAUACACCUUCCUACCAAAGAAAUCCAGCUACUUCGCCUCUUUGGAUUUAGGAGUCGGCCCCAGUUGCCUCUGCCUUUCCUUAUGGUUGGCCGCCUCCACCACCAGAGUACCCUGCUGAGGAUGAGUAAACAGGUACUCAUACCCUUUGGAGGGCACAAUAUAUUUCCUCUGUAUCCCUUUUGCCAUGGGGAGAAGAGAGGCGGGUGUUUGCCACAACACCUUAGUGGUGUUAUAGAUAGACUUAAUAAGGGGCAAAGCCACCCUUGAAGGACCUUCAGGGACCAGAAUGUCAACCAUAGGGUCGGUCUCCUCCGACACCUCCUCCGACUGCAUGCUUAAGUUUUGAGCCACCCUCCUGAGAAACUCUUGGUGUGCCCUGUUAUCCACAGCAGGCAGUGUGGUGGAAAUGCCUGCCACCACUUCAUCCAGGGAGGAUGAGGAAGAUGCCUGCGGGGGCACUGGGUUUUCCUGACCCUCUGGUUCGCGGGAUCCCCUUGCACCGAAACACCUUGUGCAGUGCCAGGAGUGGUGCUGGUUUCCGGGCCUGCACCCUCUCAAUACUGGUCCCAGUGCCGGGUCCCGCAGCAGUCUUGGUGCCAACCUGCGUGCCCAUCUCCUGCCCUUGAGGAGGUUCCCGGGCUACCAAUGUCGAUGAUGGAGGGACCCAUGCCUCCGAAGCCACUGAUAAGGAUCUGGACUCCGGCCCUAGGGCUUCGUAGUAGGCCCAGGAGGUCCAGAAGGGCCAUUGAGCCGGCACCUGCCACAGCAGAGGCCAGGACAUCAUGGGUAGCGGCUGCCCUUGCUCUUGUCUUGAGCAGUGCCGAGGUCGGUGCCGGCUUUGCCUAGAGGUGUACGACUCUGCCUCCAAGUCCGAUGAGGACUCCGACCUUGGCAACCAAGGCGGUGCGGAGCGAGAUGGUGCUCGGGAGCAGUGCCGAGGUGAGGGCAAGCGGUGCCUCGUCAUCAUCAGCUUGCCUCGAGAGGGCACUGUGCCUCUUUGUGGCAUCCAUGCCGGUGCAGGGGACUGCGCCGUCAUCGUUAUGAGGUCCCUAACUGCUGCAAAGGUGUCUGGCGUAGAGGGAAGGUCUGGGUCCUCCUGCCAACACUCCCGCACUGGGGAGUCCACUAGAACCGGACUUGACAAACUGUAAGGCCGGAGUCAACAGUGACAGCUGAGUUGGAGCUGGAGCAGGGUGUCCUAGCAGGGAACACACCUGGCUGGUGCCUCCUCACUCCACUACUUUAGUGGGAGAACGACUGCUGUCCAUCUUCUUUUUCUUGUGCGACACCGAUGAAUGGGAGUGGUGCUGGGCACUCGCACUGGAGGAGGUCUUCAGCGUCGUGGAAUGGCAGUGCUGAGGAUCCUUGGAGCCCAAGUCCUUUCUCGGCGCUGUGGCCUCUCGUACCAAGGCCAGUGCGCUCCGCACCAAAGUGCUGGGUUUGGGAUCAGACACCGUCAUUGCCAUCUGGGGACAAAUGGCUGAACCCAUGAGGAGUAGUUUCAGCCUAAAGUCCCUCUCCUUCUUGGUCCUUGGUCAGAUGCCACUGCAGAUCUUACAUUUAUCUGUUUGAUGGGCUUCCCACAAGCACUUCAGACAGGAGUUGUGUGGGUCUCCCUUUGGCAUAGGCUUCAGACAGGACCCACACAGUUUGAAACCCUGAGACCGAGGCAUGCCCCGGUCCCCAGAAGGGGAAACGUGGGGCAGGGGAGGAAGAAGGAACCCCCAACUGAAAUUUAUCUAUAACUAAGAAGGUCCUGCUGAGGCCAUCUGCUAACAUGUUCCUGGCCCUGGGCAAAUGCGCGGCUACCAGGGAUUAGACUUUGGGGUGUGUGGUUGACCAUGGUGGCUGGACAUAGAGCCAGCUGAUUGACCCCCACGUCCCCCAGAAGGGUGUGUGGAAGGACUAAGGGGCACUGCUGGAGGGCAGUGGUCCUGUAGAGGACGCCGCAAGUUGGUGAGCGACGUGGGCUCAGAAGCCAACCGAGGGCAAGACAACGGGCGGGAUACUACUGAGAGGGGACGCUCCACUGGACUGAACUAAUUCCCGGAGUAACCAGUAGGAGGCGCCGCGGUGGUGAGUCCCAACCUUCUUACAGGGAUGUAGACCAACACCAGCCAUGCUUGCAGUGGCCGGAAAUGGAGCUGGGCAUGCGGGACCAUGUGCAUACAUGAGGCCAUGUGGCCUAACAAUCGCAGGCAGGUGUGAGCAGUGGUGAGUGGGUAGUGUUUCACAUGGGGGAUUCAGGAGUGACAUGGCCUGGAAACGUGCCUCUGGAAGGAAGGCUCUGGCUCAUGUGGAGCCAAGAACCGCCCCAAUGAACUCUAUUUGUUGCACCAGCCUUAAGGUCGAUUUCUUUUCAUUUAUCAACAGGCCCAGGUCAUGGCAGGUGGAACGAACUAGAUCAAGGCUCCUCUGCACCUGUUCCUGAGAUCUGCCUUUGAUAAGCCAAUCAUUAAGAUACAGGAUGAGAACACCAAAAAAUCUGAAUAUUACCUCGGCUUUUGGCAGCUUCCUUCAAAGCAGUUAGAACUUGAGGCUUCAGGUCAUCAGAAAGUAAUCUUCCUUCAAGGCCUGGGAAGAGGGACCUAGCAUGUCAUUGAAAACAAAUAAGUAUUGAUCUUAGUAUCCUUAUCCAAGUCAUUUAUGUUGUUGUUCUAUAGUUUCAAAUACUGUGAAACAAAUUAUAUAUGUACUUGCCUAUAUAUUUUGAAAAGUUUUCUUUUUGCAGUAUUUAAAAAAAAACAAAAUAUGUAUAGCAACAGAGAAUCCUAAGAAAAUUAACCUCUAACUAUUCUGUACUUUUGAGAGGUGGUUUAAGAGCGUUCUUGUUAAAAAUACCAGGUUUACAACCUGAAGUCAUUAAGACUGAUUUUAAUGUAGUUAUACUCUAGAAAGAGACUUUUAAAAUAGCUUUCUAGGAUUCUAUGUCGCUCAGUGAACUGACAUCAGAGUAUAAAGAUGUAGGGUAUGUAAUUGCUAGCACUGAAAAUACCACCUGGGACCUGAAAAUCAGGCUGUGCUCUUCCUGGCUCUGAAAUCACCAGCAACAAAUAAUUGUAAACCACAAAUAACCAUGGUAAAGGUUGGAUGAAUAGAUUUUAUGCUUCAGACAGUAAAUUUUCAUGUCACAAGCCACAACACUUCAAGUUCAAGAAGUUCUGGAGGCCAAAUUUAGGUUGGUAGGUAAGAGAUUAAAGACCAUGACCUCCAUGGUAGCAUUCUCUGAAAGGCUUCCAGUUCCACACAAGGGGCCAGUAUGUGGGUGAAAUAAUGAUGAAGGGAGGAGGGAUUUAGGUUUAUUAGGAACUGGGGAACCUUUUAGGGGAAGCAGUGGCCUAUACAGGAGGGAUGGGCACCACCUUAACCAAAAUGGAGCCAGACUACUGGCAUGUACAAUUUUAAAACUUGUAGAGGAAUUUUUAAAUUAAGGGCUGGAGAAAAGACAACAGGUGUGGAGGAACACAUGGUUCAGGCAUAUACACCCCUCACGGAUGAAUUUAUUAAAGGGGGAACUCUGUAUACUAGUAAAGAGGAUAGGAAAGAAGUUGGUAAAGUGCAGAUAGGAGGCAGUGAGGAACAGUAAAAUGUAACAGAGUCCUAUUUAAAUAUAACAUGUGAAAGCAAGCAACUGAAUAUUGACAAAAUUUACAAGUACUUAUAUACAAAUGCUAGAAGUCUAAAUACUAAAAUGGGUGAACAAAAGUGCCUAGCAUUAAAUUGAGGAUAUUGCUAUAACAGGCAUCAUAGAAACUUGGUGGAUAAUCAGUGGGACAUAAUACCAGGAUAUAAAAUCUAUAGGAAUGACAGAAUAGCUUGUGCUGUUGAGGGACUGGCAUUAUAUUUUAGAGAAUCUAUAGAGUCAAAUAAGGUAAAAAUCUGGAAUGAAACAAACUGUAUCAUAGAAUCUCUAUAAAUAGAAAUUCCAUGCUUGAAUAAAAGGAGUAAAGCAAUAGGAAUAUACUACUGACCACCUGACCAGAUGACAGUGAUUGUAAAAUGCAAAGGGAGGUCAGAGAGGCUACAAAAGCAGAAAGCACAAUAAUCAUGAUUGACUUCAACUAGCCUCAUAUUGACUAGGUAAAUGUCACUUCAAGGCAUGAUGCAGAGAUAACAUUUCUAGACACCAUAUAUGAGUGCUUCUUCAAGCAGUUAGUUCUGGAAACCACAAAGAGAGAGCUAAUUCUUGAUUUAGUCCUUAGUGGAGCACAGGAUCUAUUCAAGAGGUAACUAUAACUGAACUGCUUCAUAAUAUCAGGGGGUAGCCGUGUUAGUCUGUAUCUACAAAAACAAC